CACAUGCAAGUCGAGGGGCAGCACGUAAAGUAUUUCGGUACUUUUGGUGGCGACCGGCGAACGGGUGCGUAACGCGUAUGCAAUCUGCCUCUUACAGGGGGAUAACACUGGGAAACUGGUACUAAUACCCCAUAACAUCAGAGAAGGCAUCUUCUUUGGUUAAAAGCUCCGGCGGUAAGAGAUGAGCAUGCGUUGUAUUAGUUAGUUGGCGAGGUAACGGCUCACCAAGACUACGAUACAUAGGGGGACUGAGAGGUUAGCCCCCCACACUGGUACUGAGACACGGACCAGACUCCUACGGGAGGCAGCAGUGAGGAAUAUUGGUCAAUGGACGCAAGUCUGAACCAGCCAUGCCGCGUGCAGGAUGACGGCUCUAUGAGUUGUAAACUGCUUUUAUACUAGGGUAAACUUAUCUACGUGUAGAUAACUGACAGUAUAGUAUGAAUAAGGACCGGCUAACUCCGUGCCAGCAGCCGCGGUAAUACGGAGGGUCCAAGCGUUAUCCGGAUUUAUUGGGUUUAAAGGGUGCGUAGGCGGCUUUUUAAGUUAGAGGUGAAAUCCAGGGGCUCAACCCCUGAACUGCCUCUGAUACUGGAGAGCUAGCGAGUAGAUGCUGUUGGCGGAAUGUGUGGUGUAGCGGUGAAAUGCUUAGAGAU
RNAcentral lists this ribosomal RNA (656 nucleotides) under uncultured bacterium. RNAcentral's name for it is "bacterial SSU rRNA". It matches the Rfam family "Bacterial small subunit ribosomal RNA", at positions 52 to 697 of the family's 1533-position model. The record is from RNAcentral.